AUGAAUGUAUGUAUGUAUACACGUAUGUAUUUCUAUGUGUACCUAUCUACGUCUAUAUUUGCAUCAAGGGGAACAACAUGGUGGCAGAGUUGGGCGCCUCGAGCGGUCUUCUCCCCAGAGGGUGGGGAGGUGGUCUCUGCUCCUCAGCCUCGGACCCCCUUCCCCGUCCCCACUCAUGGCCUGGGGGGGGGAAGGGGUCCAGUCCCUUUAGGGUUCGGUCACUGUGUAGGGCAACGGCUUCUUCCCCCCCCCCCCCGCCAGUGGACUCCUCACCUGCAGUGCUCAGAAUGGCAGCACUCCUCUCGUGGCCUUGUCACCGGGGGGGGGAGCAUGCUUUUGGGCGGAACCGCCGGUCUCCACAGGGGUCCAAAGCAUCUGGAGCACGCCACGGGGAACGGAGACGGCGUCCGAAAGCAGCCAAAUGCCCCACGCCCCCACCCAUCGAGUAACGCCUGCCUCCACCCAAGACAACAUGCCCUCUUGGCAUUAUUGGGCUCAGGGCCCUUUCUAACUCUGCCUCUCUCUCCUUCUACCUCCAGCCUCGGACCGUGGCAAGAAGCCACCGCCAGCCCACCCCUCUGGAGCACCGCGGGAACUCAGCGAGCCCCUUGCGGCACAACCGCCGGGCCCGUGGAAGGCAGCUCCCUCAGCACCGGCUGCGGCCCUACAUUAUCUCCCCACGGCCCCUGUGGUGGCCUAUCCGCUGUCCUCCCUCAUCUACUGUCCUCUGCUCGCAACUACCUCGUCCGCUUCCCCAGCUGGCCUUCCCACUUACGAUGCCCGCAGGUUCCAGGCCCCGGAGCUGAAAACUUGGGCCUCUCGGCCGGAGCCAUCAGAUCGCCGGGGCACCCUGAUGUUUGGUGGCGGCCUGCGGGACCUCAACCGCUCGCUGCGCCGUGCCGUGGACGCGGCCAAAGACAUGAAGGCGACCACCCAACAGAUGAGCCGGUCUUUGGCUUGGGAACUGAGCAAGGCGAAACAUCUGCGGAGAUCCUGCCUCUUCUGAUGGGAGAAGUAGGCCACCCCCCUUUCUUUCUGCGGCGCUCGGCGAGACCCCUGAGAAACAGGGAAUUGAGAUGCCUAACCCCUAUUGCAGAGGAGAACUUGGGAUUCCUCCACGUUCGGGAGGAACAUUUUGGGGUGGCCAAGAAUCUGAAGCAUCGUGGAAGCUUGAAAGAGGGAUCCCGGAGAGAGCAGGUUCAUAAACUGCAUUUGCCUUGCACUUCUGUAAGGAGACGGCCGGGAGUCGCCUCUAAACCUCGGUCCUGCUCUUCCCCGUUCCCUCCUGACUGAUCUGGAACAAGUCACAAGAUUUCCUCUUUCCCGGAAGCUCUUCCGCUCACCUCGUGCCUCUUCUCAAGCACAGAAAGGCAAAAGCGUCUGCAAUUUUAGGACUGAAAUACGUCCUUUCGCUUUCACGGGGCAAAAAUGAGGAAAGGGCAGGAAAUUGUGGCUGCUUUUCGGUUCUUAAAAAAGUGGCCACCAGAAGGGCCUGUAGUCCGGUACGUGUGUCUAACGUUGACCAAGGACCUGCGAAUCUUCAUAACCGCCCUGCGUUUCCCAGCGUUGGGUCCUUCACACUCUGAAGUGGUCGAGUCGUGCCGUCUCUUCCCGGACACGUUUUUUCUCUCCUUACCUCAAUUGUUAUUAUGCCUUAAGUCUUCAGACCCCAGCUUGUCGGAAGAAAGUCGGACCCGAUCCGUCAUGAAACAGCUUCACCUGUUGCACGGAGUUGAUGAGUCAGUCCGGCUUAAUCUGGCCAGCCUAUUUUUAUAAAAGGAAUCUGGAAAACAGGAAGAAGCAACUGGACGUUUCUCCAGGGCUGUGGAAUAACUUCUGCUUUAUCCGUCUCCUCCCGAUAAAGCCGUCUUGGAACCAGCGUUGCCCGACACUGCGUCCUCUCGGAGGAAAGUCGGCUUUCUCUAAUGCUGCUGGUCCAUGGGUGACAACUUCUGUAAAUCCAUGCCUAGGAACUGAAAUGUGCUGGUUGCACGUCAUCGGUAAAACUCCCCACUGGCUGUAAAAGUGCUUGUAUUGACCCUCUAAAACCAGAGAGCAUAUCCGUAGCAGUACCUACCUCACGUCUUGUGUGUGUCUGUGUGCGAGCAGAAAAAGGAAGACUGGAUCGUUGUUUUUUUAAAAGACCCAUUCAUUCUGAACCACAUGUUGUGUCAGUCCAAAGACUUGUACGAAUAUAACUAGUGCCUGGUGGUAGAUUUUUUUAAAAAAAAGCAUUCCGAUGUGGGGUUUUUUAAAGUAAUAAUUCUGAGAGUUUCAUUAAUCUUAUUUAAAUCUGCAGAGAGAUCAAAGCUGUAUAGUCUUUUUGGAGCUGGAGAGAACAAACCUUUUAGACGAGGGCAUCGCCCCACAUCUCCUUGUGAGUGAGAAAGACAAACUAGAUCUUCUAAGAAAGUGCAUACCGCAUGCCAGUUUUGCAGUUGCAUUAAAAAAAUGAAGAUUUUUUUUAAAUACAUCAUUGUCUAAAUCUAAAAGACAAUGAAAGAGGUUUCUGAUACACAAAAUAAAACCCCAGAUGACUAAUCA
This 2544-nucleotide long non-coding RNA is filed under the name Pogona vitticeps (central bearded dragon). RNAcentral's name for it is "lncRNA (ENSPVIG00000023121.1)". Lineage: Eukaryota; Metazoa; Chordata; Lepidosauria; Squamata; Agamidae. The record is from RNAcentral.